Molecule: ribosomal RNA, 501 nt
Filed under: uncultured bacterium
Lineage: Bacteria
Description: partial 16S ribosomal RNA
Rfam family: Bacterial small subunit ribosomal RNA
Source: RNAcentral
GACGAACGCUGGCGGCGUGCUUAACGCAUGCAAGUCGAACGGUGAAGGGGAGCUUGCUCCCCGGAUCAGUGGCGAACGGGUGAGUAACACGUGGGCAGCCUGCCCCAGACUUCGGGAUAACGCUUCGAAAGAGGUGCUAAUACCGGAUACGAACUCCUUGGGCAUCCUGGGAGUUGGAAAGUUUUUCGGUCUGGGUUGGGCCCGCGGCCUAUCAGCUAGUUGGUGAGGUAACGGCUCACCAAGGCGACGACGGGUAGCCGGCCUGAGAGGGCGACCGGCCACACUGGGACUGAGACACGGCCCAGACUCCUACGGGAGGCAGCAGUGGGGAAUAUUGGACAAUGGGCGAAAGCCUGAUCCAGCCAUGCCGCGUGUGUGAAGAAGGUCUUCGGAUUGUAAAGCACUUUAAGUUGGGAGGAAGGGCAGUAAGUUAAUACCUUGCUGUUUUGACGUUACCGACAGAAUAAGCACCGGCUAACUUCGUGCCAGCCGCCGCCGUAA